This is a long non-coding RNA of Tympanuchus pallidicinctus (lesser prairie-chicken), 3674 nucleotides long. RefSeq lists it as uncharacterized. The record is from RefSeq and is a predicted model, not a curated record. The transcript is spliced from 4 exons. Lineage: Eukaryota; Metazoa; Chordata; Aves; Galliformes; Phasianidae.
UGUUAGCUAAUGCUGGGCCAACGCUGGGACAGGAGAUAAAAGAAACAUGCUAACAAUGCUCCACUUGAAAACAGGCAUGGUAAUACCAGCAUGUUAUUGUGGCAGAACUGAGGGGGUAAUCUAAAUUUAGGGAUGCAUGUGAGUUCUGAGGCAUGAUGUCAUGGAAAUGCUUUCCACGCCCUGAAAGAGGAAGGUGCUGUGAGAAUUUCCUUUCUAUUGUUCCAGGUGCUCCAUGUGCUUAGGGGGACACUGACUUUGGAAGGACUUAUCAACACAUCCCAUCCCCUCUGAGAGAUGGAGGAGCAAGAAACAGCGGAGGUGCAUGCACACUCAAAAAUAUACAAAAUAGAACAAAGAACAAGUUGAUUUAAUUUGCACUGUGAAACUAUAAUUCAGACUGGAUACAGCAGGUGAAUGGGACACAUAGGUCACUGGAGAUAUAGUACACUCUGAUGUCCCAGGCAAUCUCUACAUCCUGUUUUUGCAUUUUGAUACCACUUCACUGUUUUCAAAUCCCAGUUUGAAAUAGUAUUUAGUAGUUUUGAAGAUUCCUUCAUGGAGGUAUUUUCAAGUUCUUCAUAAAGUAAGCAAUAAUGAUAUCGUGAUUGAAAUUCACAGUGCUUUCAUCUGACCCACCACAAGAUUAGCAGGACUGUCUACUUUGGCCUCUGGAAAUACACAAUGAACAUAUGAGGGUAGACUGAUGAAAUGAAGUGUUAUGGUCACAUUCCUUUGCAGUACAGCUGUUUUUGGAGAUGGUCAUUUGGUGAUAUAAGCUUCAUAAGGUAGCUGAAUACUUUAGUGCAAAGAUUUUAAAUAUGCUAAACUGUCAAUAAUGUGAUAUAUGUGCUUCCUGAAUUAUUACAAUCAUUGUCAAUGAGUCAACUUUAAAGAUCAUCCACUAGUGAGGACAAGGUAUUGUUCAGUGCAAGUUUUUUAACCAAAACUGGAACACUGUAAAAUGAAUUCAGUAAAGUAAAGGAAAACUAAUCCAUCAGGUAUCAAAACGGGGCUAUAAGAAGGGGACAGAAUCUUUAGCAGAGCCUGCUGUGAUAGGAGAAAGUAAAGUAGUUUCAAGGUAAAAGAGGAGAGACUGGAUAUAAAGUUUUUUAUGCUAAGGUGAUGAGACACUGGAACAGGUUGCCCAGACAGGUAGUAGAUACCCCAUGCUUGAAGACAUUCAAGGUCAGGCUGAAUGGGGCUCUGAGCAACCUGAUCUAGUGGUAGGUGUCCCUGUUCAUUGCAGAAGAGAUGGACUAGAUGAUCUUUAAAGGUCUCAUCCAACUGAACUCUAACUCAAAUGAUUCUAUGAUUCUAAAACUAACUAUAAUAAACUUCCAAGUAAUUGAAACAAGAACAAAAGCUAAACAGAAAUAUUUGGUAUAUCUUCAGGAAACAAGGGUGCUAAAUUAGAAUCAAAUAACCAAAAGAUGCUUAUCACUUAACUCAGCAGUAUGCACCAUGCACAACCACAUGCUGAGGCAGGCAUGCAAAAAAAAAGGUCACAAAAAUAAUUGCUUCUUUAGAUACUUGCAAAGAAAAUAAGUUUCUUGGAACAACAUAAUCUGUCAGAGUAAUGCAGAAAAUGUCAUUUAUACUAUUAUGGAUGAAGCAUGUGAUAAAAUUACAGGGAAAACAAUGGAGUAGAAUAUUGUGGAAGGUGAAUAUUUUCUUCACCAGUGGAUCCAGUUAGAGAAGUGUACUCCAAACAAAAGUAGUGUCCAGACACUGUCACUGAAAUACCAUCUGUGUCAGUGAAAAUUUCAAACUCUCAAAAGGCAAGGAAAUAGUUAUAAAAAUAAAAUUAGAGGUUUGUGCUAAAAUAUAAUCUUCUCUCCUACCAAUAACAUGGAAAUAUGAAUAUGAACACCAGAAAUAUCCCUCAGAACAAAGUUCAAGUAUACUAAAUAAAUUAUCAAAUAUCUGUGGAUUACUUUAUCCAUGAAACUGGACAAAAGAAAUUCAGUAGCAUUUUACAUCAGAAAGGGUAUCUUGGGCUUCAGAGUCAGUGAAAGAAUAGAGGUGACAGUCAGAAUGAAUAUGUCACAACAUCUAUUUAAAAACAAGUCUCUCCCUGUAGGUCUUAAAGCUUUAUAAAUGAAACUUAAAAUCCUGAUAGAAAUUCAAAUUCAUUCAUAGGAAUUAAAAAAGAAUAAAAAGCAAUUUGGAUAAAGGAUUUUGUUAAUGCUCAGACAAUACUGUCCAUACUUGGCUGCAUAACACUUAUCCACUGAUAAAUAAGAUCAGAAAGUCUGUCCUGUGGUGGAAAAAUUGUUUAACAGUACUUCUGGAAUGUUGGCACAUAUGCAGGCUAGAUAGAAAAUAAAAAAUAUUCUCAAGCUCUGUACUUUGUCAGAUAAAACUAGAAAGUUGAUUUUUAUCCUAUAUGUAGUAGAGUUCAAGACUGUGAUAUAUUCUUUUCUCAGACUGGGCCAUUUUUGCAGUCAAGAUACUAAAAUAUUGGACUUCUGAUCUAGAAAAUCCUAUCCAUGCCAAUGGCUAAAACUCCACUGAUAGCUAUUGUAAAGUUACGAGGACCUCGGAUACUCUCUUUUACACUAUGUAAAACAGAAAUCUUGGAAGAUAAUUUAUAUUGAUAUAAUUAUUAGGAAUUAAAGGCGGAUUUGUAUGAAACUACUCAAUGUUGGGGACAAAUACUGAUCAGAGAAACAAGAAAGUGAUUGUAGAUGCUUCAUGAAGAAACUUAGCAAGAAUUCCUCUUUCUACAGUGUCUUAUAGAUCCAUUGUGUACAGUGGAAUAACUGAAUGAAUAUUUCAUUCGUUUUUUAGAGCGACAUCAACAGUAACAAUGUAAAACAUUGCGUAAAUGAAUAAAAAAUCAGUCUUACUUUUUAAAAGCAAAGCAAGAGCAUUAACUCAUCUCCAAUAUGUUGUUCAAGUGACUACAAAAAUAUAUUAACUGAUAUAUUUUGAAAAGUGUAUGUAAUUCAGGAAAUGCAUGCCUGUGGGUGUAGCUUUUAAUUAUAUGAUCAAUAUAAAAUGCCAAGUUAAGUAUCUACUUUAAAAUCGAGUAUAUAUUUAUAUAAACCUAAAAUUAUUCUAUAUUGCCAAUAAGUAAUAUGAUUUUUUUUCAUUAAUUGCUAUAAUUGAAAUAGUCCAUAUAUUGUGUCUAAAGAAUAUAAUGAAUGGGAAACAGAUCUUAAACUCGGAAAUAGAAUUUCAUGUUUGGUAUAAACAUUGAAUAUAUUUUACAAAAUAGCCACUACAUUUAUGUGAAGAAGUUUUCCUUUUUUUUUUUUUGUUCUCUUUCACAAAUAGCACAGAACUAAGCAUACUGGGCCUUUGCUUCUCAGAAAUGUGGUCUGAAUUUUUCAACACUGUUUCUCACAGAGUGUGAAUUGACUAAAUCUGGUUAUGAAGGCAAUACUUUUUUUUAACUUUCACAAAUAUAAGUCAUGCUUUUCCACAACAAUCGUUCACAACAUUUCACUUUUCAUAUAACAAAUGAUUUGUAAAUCAAAAAGCAUCUGUUUCACAGUGGAGUCACUGCUAGACUUUUGGAGAUCUAAAGUUGAGGAGCUACUCUCUUCUUAGAAAUCAAAUGAUAUAAGCAUCUCUAUAAUUUGUUUUUGCUUUCUGGGGACUUGAACUGUUUCUCUUUUUGUUUACCUGUAAUGGCAACUGAACACCCAAUAACAACAGAAUAUUUAUUA